RNAcentral lists this microRNA precursor (278 nucleotides) under Phaeodactylum tricornutum. RNAcentral's name for it is "miR5471 stem-loop (pti-MIR5471)". The record is from miRBase by way of RNAcentral. Lineage: Eukaryota; Bacillariophyta; Bacillariophyceae; Surirellales; Neidiaceae.
UGCUCGAUUGCGAGAAUCGAUACUAAUACGCUGUUUCAAUUGUCCUGCACGGUCGAAGGAUUAAAAAUUCGCUGAGCCCAAAAUGGACGGCUCAUUUCGAUCUCGACUACGAAAUUGGAGUCUUAAAUCGUAUCAACGUCUCCAUUUUUGAUGAAGUUCGCAAAGGGAACAACAAACAGAUGGGUACGGCGAUGUUUGAAGUCGGCGAAGUCCUCGGCGCGCGUGGAAAUACGAAAGCAAAAAAAUUAAAACGUGGGGGUACGAUUUUUGUUCGAAUU